AACGAACGCUGGCGGCAGGCUUAACACAUGCAAGUCGAACGCCCCGCAAGGGGAGUGGCAGACGGGUGAGUAACGCGUGGGAACAUACCCUUUUCUACGGAAUAGCUCUGGGAAACUGGAAUUAAUACCGUAUACGCCCUACGGGGGAAAGAUUUAUCGGGGAAGGAUUGGCCCGCGUUGGAUUAGCUAGUUGGUGGGGUGAAGGCCUACCAAGGCGACGAUCCAUAGCUGGUCUGAGAGGAUGAUCAGCCACAUUGGGACUGAGACACGGCCCAAACUCCUACGGGAGGCAGCAGUGGGGAAUAUUGGACAAUGGGCGCAAGCCUGAUCCAGCCAUGCCGCGUGAGUGAUGAAGGCCUUAGGGUUGUAAAGCUCUUUCACCGAUGAAGAUAAUGACGGUAGUCGGAGAAGAAGCCCCGGCUAACUUCGUG
Molecule: ribosomal RNA, 431 nt
Filed under: uncultured bacterium
Lineage: Bacteria
Description: partial 16S ribosomal RNA
Rfam family: Bacterial small subunit ribosomal RNA
Source: RNAcentral